CAAAGGGGGACUCCACAACACAAAGCUAGAUGUGCCCUCUCAAACUUUUUCCACGACGCACGGCGACGCGCAAAGAGCUAAACACCCCCAGGUGGAUUUUAACACCAGAUUAACCAGCAAAGCGUUUGUCUCCUGUUGGAGGUUAUGGCAAAAAGAAGGAGAAGUGGAAAUAACAUGGAAGAUGUACAGAGUCACCUAUCAAGUGGCUUUUAAGACGCAGAGGAGGAUUAAGAGACUGUGCAGUUUUCUUUUGGAGAAGGUGAAGACUCUUCUCAGAAGGAUUUAAACUUCAGGAGCAGCAGUGCCAAGCGGGAUGCAUUUUAGGCAGACUUGGAACUCUGAAACUCAUGGAGACUUUGAGGAUUAUAAAAAAUAUGUAGUGUGUCUCUCCACAAGACAACUUUCCAGCCCAAAGUCACUGGGAUAGCAGGAUAUUGCAUUUGUGAUCCUCCUCGGCCCUUCGCAUGGGGAGUGUGGGAGUGGUGAGGUCUGGGAGAUCACGACCUUAAUUCUCUCCAAGACAGACGGUUUAAUUAACACUGGAGGAAUCCUCACUGGCUCCAGACCUCUACAAUGGGAAUGUGCACGGGAAUUGGAUUGCCAAGCUACAUUCUUUCCAACCCCCACAACCCAUGGCUGUGCAGCUAUACCCACUGAUGAAGCAACAAUGCAGACAGAACUUUAGGCCCCCUUCUACGUAGUCCACAUUGCGAGAAGACCACCUCACAAGGAUUUUCCCCUUCACCAGGUGUGGCAGAGUGAGAGUCAGAGAGAUCACCUGGUCUAGACUGGAACUGUCAGGAUCCUCAAAGAAACCUGUGUGGAAAUGGAGAAGUUUAUGAAGAUAAAGAGGAAAACAGCUUGAUGGAGAAAAAAACUGUUAAAUGAUGUCUAUUUGUCACAUAUAAGGUAACAUCUAAUUGUCAUCAUACGUUGUCCUCCAACUGGAUCUCAUGUAUUUCACUUUAAAUAUAUGAGCAACAAUCUGGUGGCUUUGGAGCUUUUGGAUGUGCAACUACUAAGGGUUAUGAAGUGUUACUUUUUGCAGGAUAUCACUAGCUAAAAAUAAAUUAUUAUUAUUAUUGUUAUUUAUCAAUUGCAUAUUCAAGACCACAGUGUGUUUUACCAUAUGUGUGUUAUGAUAGAUUUGAAAUGUUCACUGAUAGAAACUGCUGUUUAUUUGCUGUCCACACUUUCCUCCACAAUACUGUACUUGCUCCCUCUUACAAAGCGUAGCUUUUUCAUAAUGCUUAUCAAGUAUGUGUAUGUGAGAACACAUGUGGUCAGGACAAUGUAAGCAUCUAAGGAUUCACAGACCCUAGUGUCUGGUACAAUAACAUAUUUAUGAAUGAGCACUGUAUCUGUUAAGAAGUAAUGAUCCCAAUUUGGUCACAGGAGAACAAAGGCAACAUUAAGGACAUGUGCUCAUGCAAUAUGUAAAGCUCUGUGGAGAAAUGCUCCCCGCCUGUACUGCUCUCAUGUGACGAUAUAUGUACAGCGUUUCCCUUUUUAUCAUCGCUACAUAGAUUAUUAAUGAAUAUUAUAUUGUUCUGUCAAACAUCGAAGUGAUAUAAUGUUGAAUAAAGAAUGUUAAUGUUUUCUCAACAGACUCAUGACAACAUGGGACUACAUUUGUAUUAUGACAAUAUACCAGCAGUGUAGGAAUUGUCCACCGUAGAGUAACUCCGCAACAUCUUCCACAUCUGUACUUUAAAGCCCUUUAAGUGGCUAAGAGUUGAGUGCUUUGCUAUAAAGUGAACAUUGUGUCAUAUAUACAAUGGUGUUUUAAAAAUUAAAGAUAAUGUCUUCUUCUCAACACAAUCACCACUAAAAGAUUAUUCCUCUGUAUUUCUGCACAACAUUUCAUGGCAAUCCAUUUCAUAGUUUUUGACAUAGUUCAGUCAGGAGCAAAGCGGCUAAAAUAUAGCUUUUAGAGUUUUAUACCAGUUAGACAUGGAAGAAAACAAUAUUUGUUCUUCUAUGUAAUGAAAGAAAAUGUAGAGAAUCCAAAAUACUUGCUAGCCCUAUCACGACCUUGCAGUGAACAGUUUUGAAGCCUCCCUAUCUGCCUCCCUCCAUCUUUGUCUGUGGUUACUAACCCCAGCUAUAGUGGUCAGACAUGGGCCUCCUAUGUUUUCCAUAGACAGUUUAUCACACUUCCUUUCCCUCUGCUCUGGGCCCCCAGUCAUUCUGCCAGACAGGAAAAUCAAAGACUUUGGGACAUACCAUUACAGUGCAAAUGGUAUAUUGCACUGUACAGCAUGCUGAUGAUAUAUAACAUUAAAGUCUAACUAGUAAACACAAAACAGGACGGAGGCCUGAGCUGAAUUUUUCAUUAACAGCCCUCACAAGUGAACAUUAAUGUCUGAAUCACACAUUGGAUUGAUUGAAAGUAAGUCAAAAAGGGGCCCUAUACAUAUUGGAUGGUAUGGAAUUGAAUGGUGGGUAGAAAUGAUUUUACUUGUCUGUGAUUGUUAUUGUGUUGGGACUGUAUGGAGUUGAAUUUUUAUGAAAUAAAGUGUUGAAUAAAUCA
Molecule: long non-coding RNA, 2533 nt
Organism: Cottoperca gobio
Lineage: Eukaryota; Metazoa; Chordata; Actinopteri; Perciformes; Bovichtidae
Exons: 7
Source: RefSeq, a predicted model, not a curated record